GUGCCAGCCGCCGCGGUAAUACCGGCAGCCCGAGUGAUGGCCGAUCUUAUUGGGCCUAAAGCGUCCGUAGCUGGCUGCGCAAGUCCGUCGGGAAAUCCACUCGCCCAACGAGUGGGCGUCCGACGGAAACUGCACAACUUGGGACCGGAAGGCUCGAAGGGUACGUUCGGGGUAGGAGUGAAAUCCCAUAAUCCCGCACGGACCACCGAUGGCGAAAGCACUUCGAGAAAACGGAUCCGACAGUGAGGGACGAAAGCCAGGGUCUCCAACCGGAUUAGAAACCCCAGUAGUCC
This 293-nucleotide ribosomal RNA is filed under the name uncultured bacterium. RNAcentral's name for it is "partial 16S ribosomal RNA". It matches the Rfam family "Archaeal small subunit ribosomal RNA", at positions 455 to 747 of the family's 1478-position model. The record is from RNAcentral.